GAUAAAUUUAUUUUUCGUUUUUUCGUAUCCAACGUUUGACCAUUCGUUUUAUUUAAAAAUUUUUUAUAAUUAAUAUUUUUAUUGUUACUAAAUAAUAAAAUAUAAAUAGUAUUUUAUACAUGACUAUUUUUUUUAAAGUUUUUAUAUAAAUUUUUCAAAUAAGACGAAUGGUCAAACGUUAGACACAGAAAAACA
Molecule: microRNA precursor, 195 nt
Filed under: Oryza brachyantha (malo sina)
Lineage: Eukaryota; Viridiplantae; Streptophyta; Magnoliopsida; Poales; Poaceae
Description: MIR812 microRNA precursor family
Rfam family: MIR812 microRNA precursor family
Source: Rfam by way of RNAcentral